GGUAGCUUGCUACCUGACCUAGCGGCGGACGGGUGAGUAAUGCUUAGGAAUCUGCCUAUUAGUGGGGGACAACAUUCCGAAAGGAAUGCUAAUACCGCAUACGCCCUACGGGGGAAAGCAGGGGAUCUUCGGACCUUGCGCUAAUAGAUGAGCCUAAGUCAGAUUAGCUAGUUGGUGGGGUAAAGGCCUACCAAGGCGACGAUCUGUAGCGGGUCUGAGAGGAUGAUCCGCCACACUGGGACUGAGACACGGCCCAGACUCCUACGGGAGGCAGCAGUGGGGAAUAUUGGACAAUGGGCGAAAGCCUGAUCCAGCCAUGCCGCGUGUGUGAAGAAGGCCUUUUGGUUGUAAAGCACUUUAAGCGAGGAGGAGGCUACUUNGAUUAAUACUCUAGGAUAGUGGACGUUACUCGCAGAAUAAGCACCGGCUAACUCUGUGCCAGCAGCCGCGGUAAUACAGAGGGUGCGAGCGUUAAUCGGAUUUACUGGGCGUAAAGCGUGCGUAGGCGGCUUCUUAAGUCGGAUGUGAAAUCCCUGAGCUUAACUUAGGAAUUGCAUUCGAUACUG
RNAcentral lists this ribosomal RNA (566 nucleotides) under Acinetobacter johnsonii. RNAcentral's name for it is "bacterial SSU rRNA". It matches the Rfam family "Bacterial small subunit ribosomal RNA", at positions 74 to 635 of the family's 1533-position model. The record is from RNAcentral. Lineage: Bacteria; Pseudomonadati; Pseudomonadota; Gammaproteobacteria; Moraxellales; Moraxellaceae.